AUAGUGUAUAAUGAAUAUCUUGAAUUGAAUACAAUGUAAAAAGUCGAAAUAAAUAGAAUAAUAUACACCAUAUUUCUUGGUUACUUCACUGUAUUUAUAAUCACAGUCGCGUGAAUACAUGUAAAUAACAUAGUAAUAGCAAAAUUUAUGUAGAAUUAAUUUUGUUGAGUUAAAUUAGGAGUGAUACAUGCUAAUCGAUCCUCUUCCGUUAUUAAACAUCUGAAUUCCCCUAUUUCUUAGGCGAUGCGAAUACAGUCCCACAACUGGACUUCCCUAUUUUUUAGGAGAAUUUCGCUAAAGUAUUCAUGAAUAUAGUAGCACAAAUAAUUAAAUAGUAGUUAUAGGAUAUAUGGUAUUUAUAAGAAGUUAAUAGCUGCUAAUAAUAGUAGUUUCUGAAAAUUCUUCAUAAAUCUAUUGUCCUGUCUUCUCAAAAUAGUCGGUGUAUCUCACAAAAACAGCUC
This 461-nucleotide long non-coding RNA is filed under the name Nicotiana benthamiana. Its description in RNAcentral is "long non-coding RNA (NBEN_LNC008506)". The record is from RNAcentral. Lineage: Eukaryota; Viridiplantae; Streptophyta; Magnoliopsida; Solanales; Solanaceae.